Pelobates cultripes (western spadefoot toad) is the source of this 216-nucleotide non-coding RNA. Lineage: Eukaryota; Metazoa; Chordata; Amphibia; Anura; Pelobatidae. The record is from the annotation of a GenBank genome assembly.
CUAAUAUAUGGGCCAUAGUCCUGGAGCAAGAGGCUGGCAAGCAGGCACCUCCAAGAGCCCGCGACGAGGUUCAGUUCUUCACAGAAUGAAUUGAGCUGUCGUAGGUUGAUGACCAAACUGAAGUCUCCUGUUUUCUCUUGCACCAGGAAAAUGUUGCUGAAGAAACUGUCUUCAUCUUGAGCGUAUUGAAUCGCGACUUUUGUGAAAAGAGUUCGG